This 495-nucleotide ribosomal RNA is filed under the name uncultured bacterium. RNAcentral describes it as "partial 16S ribosomal RNA". It matches the Rfam family "Bacterial small subunit ribosomal RNA", at positions 28 to 507 of the family's 1533-position model. The record is from RNAcentral.
GACGAACGCUGGCGGCGUGCCUAAUACAUGCAAGUAGAACGCUGAAGGAGGAGCUUGCUUCUCCGGAUGAGUUGCGAACGGGUGAGUAACGCGUAGGUAACCUGCCUGGUAGCGGGGGAUAACUCUUGGAAACGAUAGCUAAUACCGCAUAAGAGUAGAUGUCGCAUGACAUUUGCUUAAAAGGUGCAACUGCACCACUACCAGUUGGACCUGCGUUGUAUUAGGUAGUUGGUGAGGUAACGGCUCACCAAGGCAACGAUACAUAGCCGGACUGAGAGGGGGAUCGGCCAAACUGGGACUGAGACAAGGCCCAGAAUCCUAAGGGAGGCAGCAGUAGGGAAUCUUCGGCAAUGGACGGAAGGCUGACCGAGCAACGCCGCGUGAGUGAAGAAGGUUUUCGGAUCGUAAAGCUCUGUUGUAAGAGAAGAACGAGUGUGAGAGUGGAAAGUGCACACUGUGACGGUAUCUUACCAGAAAGGGACGGCUAACUACGUG